CCUACGGGCGGCAGCAGUGGGGAAUAUUGCACAAUGGGCGCAAGCCUGAUGCAGCCAUGCCGCGUGUGUGAAGAAGGCCUUCGGGUUGUAAAGCACUUUCAGCGGGGAGGAAGGCGUUAAGGUUAAUAACCUUGGCGAUUGACGUUACCCGCAGAAGAAGCACCGGCUAACUCCGUGCCAGCAGCCGCGGUAAUACGGAGGGUGCAAGCGUUAAUCGGAAUUACUGGGCGUAAAGCGCACGCAGGCGGUCUGUCAAGUCGGAUGUGAAAUCCCCGGGCUCAACCUGGGAACUGCAUUCGAAACUGGCAGGCUAGAGUCUUGUAGAGGGGGGUAGAAUUCCAGGUGUAGCGGUGAAAUGCGUAGAGAUCUGGAGGAAUACCGGUGGCGAAGGCGGCCCCCUGGACAAAGACUGACGCUCAGGUGCGAAAGCGUGGGGAGCUAACAGGAUUAGAUACCCUAGUAGUC
This 465-nucleotide ribosomal RNA is filed under the name uncultured Klebsiella sp. RNAcentral describes it as "bacterial SSU rRNA". It matches the Rfam family "Bacterial small subunit ribosomal RNA", at positions 338 to 795 of the family's 1533-position model. Lineage: Bacteria; Pseudomonadati; Pseudomonadota; Gammaproteobacteria; Enterobacterales; Enterobacteriaceae. The record is from RNAcentral.